GGGUAUGAGGGAAAACUAGCUGUGACAUCUGUCAACACAUUGAUUUCCAGGGUUGAUACAGAUGGUCUGAGCUAAUCCCUGGUCUCCCUCACCACUCCAUUUGUGUCCCAUCCAAAGUGAAUGACCUUCUAAAAGAGGACCAGUCAUGAAGGGUAUUUAAAAGGUGUAUAUCUUUGCUAUAAUUUCUAGACAUGCUCAUAAUUUAUUCAAAAACAGAUAAACCUGCAGAACAAAUAGACAAACUUUAGUUGGGAUGAUUCCUUUUCCU
Unclassified non-coding RNA from Ursus americanus (American black bear), 268 nucleotides. Its record names the gene 7SK. It matches the Rfam family "7SK RNA". From Rfam's summary of the family: 7SK was discovered as an abundant small nuclear RNA in the mid-70s but a possible function has only recently been suggested. Two independent studies have found that 7SK RNA binds the CDK9/cyclin T complex (known as elongation factor P-TEFb). The record is from Ensembl. Lineage: Eukaryota; Metazoa; Chordata; Mammalia; Carnivora; Ursidae.